GGAUUGUUCACCCACCAAU
This 19-nucleotide small nuclear RNA is filed under the name Arabidopsis thaliana (thale cress). Its description in RNAcentral is "snRNA_10627". The record is from RNAcentral. Lineage: Eukaryota; Viridiplantae; Streptophyta; Magnoliopsida; Brassicales; Brassicaceae.